Non-coding RNA from Podarcis lilfordi (Lilford's wall lizard), 76 nucleotides. Lineage: Eukaryota; Metazoa; Chordata; Lepidosauria; Squamata; Lacertidae. The record is from the annotation of a GenBank genome assembly.
UGUAUGUUUGUGUGUGUGUGUGUGUGUGUGUGUGUGUGUAUACACACACACACACAUAUACACACAUAUACAUACA